This 23-nucleotide non-coding RNA is filed under the name Arabidopsis thaliana (thale cress). Lineage: Eukaryota; Viridiplantae; Streptophyta; Magnoliopsida; Brassicales; Brassicaceae. The record is from RNAcentral.
AGCAAUGUAAGACCGGAGGAUGA